This 204-nucleotide long non-coding RNA is filed under the name Elaeis guineensis (African oil palm). Its description in RNAcentral is "long non-coding RNA (EGUI_LNC064432)". The record is from RNAcentral. Lineage: Eukaryota; Viridiplantae; Streptophyta; Magnoliopsida; Arecales; Arecaceae.
CCGCUCACAAGCAGGUGCAAGGCCAUCAUUGGGUCCCUCACCUAACAGUUAUUGGGCCCAAUCCUAUCCUUACCCUGGAGCAACUCUUAGCUAAUAGAGUGGUUGCAUGUUCCCGAUGCAACCGAACCAUUGGUGUUGGGUAAAAAUACCCCCCAGUUGAAGUUCGUGUCAGGAGUGACCCUCCAGGGAUUCUACCGACGUCUG